This is a long non-coding RNA of Drosophila grimshawi, 668 nucleotides long. RefSeq lists it as uncharacterized. The transcript is spliced from 3 exons. NCBI's taxonomy places the organism in Eukaryota, Metazoa, Arthropoda, Insecta, Diptera, Drosophilidae. The record is from RefSeq and is a predicted model, not a curated record.
AAACAAUAACAAUUUGGGUGGGUGCUUUGGCGCUAAUGUGAUGACGGACUGUGUAAAUGCUUUUAGCGUGGCAAAGCUGGAAAAGUAUUUGUGAAGUCAAAGUUUGCUUUCUAUGCAGGGAGGAGCAUAGCGUAAGAGCGAUUGGCGAUUAAUUUGCUUAAGUCUCAAUCCAUAUCCACGGCCAUUAGAGGAUUUGCAUGCCCAGGCGCUACUCUUUCAUGUGGCAUUUUAAAAUCCUGUGCAUGUCGUGCAACAAAAGAACCAGCCAGUCACCGCCGCUGGAAUUCAAUAAGAGGCCACAGGCAUCUCGUCCCACAUAGCAGUAGCUAGGGGACUCAGCAAGGACCAACCAGGAAGCCGGCAUACCCUCCAUGUUUGACAAACAAUCAUUAGAGCCUCCAACGCUAGAAGCAGUGGCAGAGACAGCUGCAAAAGUACAAGUUGAAGCAGAAGGAAUAACGUCCUCAAAACGUAGUACAUAUCAGCAUUACCAUCAGCCACAUCGUUAGUAGCUCGGCAAGCUGUAUCUACCCGGGAUGGCUAAGAGAGGAGGACAGACAGGGAAGGAGUGAGAUAGUUGGCUAGAACACUGUGGAAACUCGGAAUUCUACAACAUUAUUUUGUUGCCUGCCUACACGAAUAUGUGAAAAUGGCUUGAGAUAUUUGAG